AGCUACCAUGGUGUAGUGGUUUGAAUGUUAGACUAGGACUCCAAGAGACCAGGGAUCAAAUCCCUGCUUGGCUA
Molecule: transfer RNA, 74 nt
Filed under: Phrynosoma platyrhinos (Desert horned lizard)
Lineage: Eukaryota; Metazoa; Chordata; Lepidosauria; Squamata; Phrynosomatidae
Description: tRNA-OTHER
Source: RNAcentral